RNAcentral lists this unclassified non-coding RNA (1490 nucleotides) under Hevea brasiliensis (rubber tree). Lineage: Eukaryota; Viridiplantae; Streptophyta; Magnoliopsida; Malpighiales; Euphorbiaceae. The record is from RNAcentral.
CAUUUGAAAAAAAAAAAAAAAAACACUGUUUUAAUUUUGUUACACCCCUAAUCUACUCAUCUUGAAAAUCUAGCUGUUCUGUUCAACCUAUAAACACCUAACAAGCAUGACAAAUUAACUGCCCGCACUAAAACCAUUCCUCCCAAAAUGCUGCUGCCAACAUUGAAAAUGCUCUACCUCAUACCAUUAGACAACAUAAAGCAUCCAAAAAGAGAACUAUAUCCUCUUUGCAACUGGCAAUAUUCAGUGUAAAUGAACCAGCGUCUACAUCAAUGACACAUGUAACACCAACCAGAUGGCCUAAAAUCCUUUUUCAUUAAAGUACCCAUUUUUUCAUUAAAGUACCCGCUUAAGAUUAGACCCACAAGCAGCAGUUCAACCAAAAAAUGACACCUCUAAAUGAAGCAUACCAAACUAAUUUCCAACAAAAUCUAUGAUCCAUUUCUCCUUUCAAGGUCAAAUAGAACAUCUUAUGAGAUGCAAAAACAUCUUCCUAAUAUUCGGUUUGUCAAUGAGCUUGAAACUACUUUUGAAAAUUACAUUUUAGAUGAUGUUACAAAAAGAAGUUUGAAAACUUAGUUUGGCUGUUUUGGAGGCUUUAUAAAUAAAACAACUAAAUUUAACUUAAAACAUUUUUUAUGUCCUCUAAUCAACAAAUUCAAAAUGGUAAUUUUUUGUCAAUACUAAUAGCAACGCCCAAUAGACCCUAACUAUCAACCCUAUUGAUUAAUCCUCAUACGUCACCUGUAAUCUCUACUAUAUCACUCCCUUCCCAUAAAAGUCUUUACAGCUACACCUUGUCCUUUACUACCUUGGCCCAGGGUAGGAGAAAAGCAGCCAGUCUCAAAUCACCUUUCUGCCAUCUUCAAAGUGAUUGACAGGAAAUUAUAAUGGCUAUAUUUUAUUUCAGUAAGAGAAAAUGGAUAUUUCUUUUGAUACCAAAUCUUUUUUGUCCAAACUUCAGUUACAAACUUACAAGGGACUCCCUUUCUUCCAUUAUAUAAAUUGCCAUUCCCAAUUUCCCGUAACAUCCUAUUUGCACACUCACAUUCCAUACAAGACACUAGCAAACAACGCAAAAGAAAAAAUAAAAAUAAAAUAAAAUCUUAAGUGAAGCAAUAAAUAAAUAUCAGCCACCGACUGUAGACCGAGAAAAGGAUAACAGAAGCUCCCCCUUGUGUUGGCAAUUGUGAAAACCAUUUUUAACGUGUGAUUGAAAGCUCCAAAACUUUCCCAGCAAAGCCAACCCAAAUCCACAUUUCUGCAUUUUUUAUCUUAAUUUCCACACAUAAAUAAAAUUAACAAAUCAUGAAGCUGUGAGAAACAAGACAUCCAAUUUUAAAAUUUCAAGAUUUUUUUCCUUUUUAUUUUUGCUUUUUUUUUUUUCAAGUUUCAGUUCCCUGAUAAUAACCAAAAGGCCAGAAAUGGGUAAAAGGUUCCAUUUUUCUUCGUUUCUUUUCUUCUGCUAAAACAACAUUCUUCGUUCCUUG